UACGAGGGGUCCAAGCGUUGUUCGGAAUUACUGGGCGUAAAGCGGGUGUAGGUGGACUGAUCAGUCGGAUGUGAAAGCCCUGGGCUCAACCCAGGAAGUGCAUCCGAUACUGUCAGUCUUGAGUACUGGAGAGGGAAGUGGAAUUCCUGGUGUAGCGGUGAAAUGCGUAGAUAUCAGGAGGAACAUCGGUGGCGAAAGGCGGCUUCCUGGCAUGUACUGACACUCAGACCCGAAAGCGUGGGUAGCAAACAGGGAUUAGAUACCCCGGUAGUCC
Molecule: ribosomal RNA, 274 nt
Filed under: uncultured bacterium
Lineage: Bacteria
Description: partial 16S ribosomal RNA
Rfam family: Bacterial small subunit ribosomal RNA
Source: RNAcentral